CCAAUCUUAAAAGUCUAGCUUUUAAGAUCGACUAUUGGCGUGACCGAUCUUAAAAGCAAACUUUUAAGAUCGG
Molecule: microRNA precursor, 73 nt
Filed under: Cajanus cajan (pigeon pea)
Lineage: Eukaryota; Viridiplantae; Streptophyta; Magnoliopsida; Fabales; Fabaceae
Description: miRNA gene-KK1_037921
Source: RNAcentral